Long non-coding RNA from Mauremys reevesii (Reeves's turtle), 543 nucleotides. RefSeq lists it as uncharacterized. Lineage: Eukaryota; Metazoa; Chordata; Testudines; Geoemydidae. The transcript is spliced from 3 exons. The record is from RefSeq and is a predicted model, not a curated record.
GGAAUAAGCUGGUCACAGUUGUUACACAACUCCAGGAAUUUCUUCUUUUGUUGAUUCACCAGGUUUGUCGAUAUUAAGGAUACAAUGUGCAGAAGUGUUCCUACCUGGUCUGGCUUUGGUCCCAUCUGUGCCCAUCACUUUAAGGAAAGUGACGUUUCCUGCACCUUGUGCACCAUGCGUGCAAACACUGGGAUUCUGGCUGUAUCCUGUGGAGGUACAAAAAGGUAUUCAGUCACCAAGGUCCCUGAGCCCAGGCUCCAUUGACUUGCACCAGUGGAAUCCAUAGAGUGAAUUGGACCAAGAGUCUGAAUCAACUAUCCAUGUGGAAAAAUGAGACCCUUCUGGCUGCCCUAUGACCUACAUGGUAGCAACAGCGGCUUUGAGACCCACAGGAGGGAAGAGGAAACCUUCACUUUAGAGAAGGGAAAAGUUUACCUGUGAUACAUGGUUAGCUGUCCAUCUGCACAGUGUAAAUGGGACUCAGCAGAUCAAAGCUGACAUAUUUGUUAGUCAAAGAGACUGGCAAUUCACAGGAUCUUAAUU